CCCUUAGACGUUCUGGGCCGCACGCGCGCUACACUGACCAGUGCAACAAGCAUCCGUCCUUGGCCGACAGGCUCGGGCAAUCUGUGAACGCUGGUCGUGAUGGGGAUAGACUUUUGCAAUUUUUGGUCUUCAACGAGGAAUUCCUAGUAAACGCAAGUCAUCAACUUGCAUUGAUUACGUCCCUGCCCUUUGUACACACCGCCCGUCGCACCUACCGAUUGAAUGGUCCGGUGAAGCCUCCGGAUUGGCGCGCACCUCGGUGCCGCCGAGAAGUUGGCUAAACCUUACCAUUUAGAGGAAGGUGAAGUCGUAACA
This 315-nucleotide ribosomal RNA is filed under the name uncultured eukaryote. RNAcentral's name for it is "partial 18S ribosomal RNA". It matches the Rfam family "Eukaryotic small subunit ribosomal RNA", at positions 1470 to 1796 of the family's 1831-position model. The record is from RNAcentral.